This 586-nucleotide ribosomal RNA is filed under the name uncultured bacterium. RNAcentral describes it as "partial 16S ribosomal RNA". It matches the Rfam family "Bacterial small subunit ribosomal RNA", at positions 355 to 937 of the family's 1533-position model. The record is from RNAcentral.
UGGGGAAUAUCGGACAAUGGGCGCAAGCCUGAUCCAGCAAUGCCGCGUGUGUGAAGAAGGCCUUCGGGUUGUAAAGCACUUUUGUCCGGAAAGAAAUCCUCUGGGUUAAUACCUCGGGGGGAUGACGGUACCGGAAGAAUAAGCACCGGCUAACUACGUGCCAGCAGCCGCGGUAAUACGUAGGGUGCAAGCGUUAAUCGGAAUUACUGGGCGUAAAGCGUGCGCAGGCGGUUUUGUAAGACGGAUGUGAAAUCCCCCGGGCUUAACCUGGGAACUGCAUUCGUGACUGCAAGGCUAGAGUAUGGCAGAGGGGGGUAGAAUUCCACGUGUAGCAGUGAAAUGCGUAGAGAUGUGGAGGAAUACCGAUGGCGAAGGCAGCCCCCUGGGCCAAUACUGACGCUCAUGCACGAAAGCGUGGGGGAGCAAACAGGAUUAGAUACCCUGGUAGUCCACGCCCUAAACGAUGUCAACUAGUUGUUGGGGAUUCAUUUCCUUAGUAACGUAGCUAACGCGUGAAGUUGACCGCCUGGGGAGUACGGUCGCAAGAUUAAAACUCAAAUGAAUUGACGGGGUCAUAGCUGUUUCC